Long non-coding RNA from Triticum dicoccoides, 693 nucleotides. RefSeq lists it as uncharacterized. The transcript has 3 exons. Lineage: Eukaryota; Viridiplantae; Streptophyta; Magnoliopsida; Poales; Poaceae. The record is from RefSeq and is a predicted model, not a curated record.
AGAUGGUCAAGCGAGCAACAGAAGCCGGGGUUCCACCAUGAGCAUGGCUAGUAUUGAAGACGCGUUUGCCGGCAUCCGUUGUCUCUGCCGGCAAGGAUGCCCAUCCCAGCAGUGUUGCAGCACAAUAAUGGCCAGCAGUACCUUGAUCUGGCCAAGAGAUUAGUCCCUCUAACUAUGAAGCAGUUUCCAUGCUAAUUCCUUCGGCCGAGCACGGCAGGGCACCGGCUAUACAUGGAAUGCUACUCUGUUUAUACAAUACAAUGAAAGGCAAAUGGAUAUUCGCGGUAGCCGCACACCAGCGAUCAUCUUCUGCUCCGAACGGCGCCUAGAGGCUGUUUGUUGAUGUGCUUCGAGUAUUCUACCAUCCAGGAAUUGUGCAUGUGUCCGUCUUUUAGCAUGAUCAUUACUACUUUUUUGAUGCCUUUUACCACCGUCCGAAUAUUAAUCAGUGAGCUAGAGAACGACGCUUCUUUCUCUCUGAUUCAAUCUCAAAAUGGUGCGGAUGCAGACCAACUCAGCUCUGUUAUUGAACCUCAUGUGUCUAUGGGCAACGUCUUCACAACCAUCGACGAUGAACAUUUCGAGUGCUCCUUUCAACAGAUAAAUGUCAAUCGAGAUGUGUCUCACAGUAUGUUUUCACUUCAACGGAAAUGCUGACGACUAAAGAUCUUCAAGAAUAUCUAUUCAUUAUGU